This is a non-coding RNA of Phrynosoma platyrhinos (Desert horned lizard), 71 nucleotides long. The record is from the annotation of a GenBank genome assembly. Lineage: Eukaryota; Metazoa; Chordata; Lepidosauria; Squamata; Phrynosomatidae.
GCCAAUGCAGUGUAGUGGUUUGAGCGUUGGACUAGGACUCUGGAGAGCAGGGUUCAAAUCCCGCCUUGGCC